Oxyura jamaicensis (ruddy duck) is the source of this 293-nucleotide long non-coding RNA. RefSeq lists it as uncharacterized. NCBI's taxonomy places the organism in Eukaryota, Metazoa, Chordata, Aves, Anseriformes, Anatidae. The transcript is spliced from 3 exons. The record is from RefSeq and is a predicted model, not a curated record.
CCAUUGUAUCUCCAUUGGUGGAAAUUGGCACAGCUCCACUGGUAUCAGUGGAACCGCAUGAGUUUAUGAACUUUCAUGGUGCUUCUAGAUAACAUUUUAAAGUGAGGGACUGUGUGUACUUACUGCUAUGUGUCUGUAGAUAUUUACCAAUGUUUAAGUUCCCACUAAAAUUGUUGAGAAUCAUAAAAGUUUACUUAAAAUAUUGCAGCUGAGGUUAAAGGAUUCUGAUAGCACCUACAAGGUGCUGCUAAUACAUCAAUCCUCUGCAGAAUUUCAAAAGAGGACAGGAGAGG